This 947-nucleotide ribosomal RNA is filed under the name uncultured Bacteroidota bacterium. RNAcentral's name for it is "bacterial SSU rRNA". It matches the Rfam family "Bacterial small subunit ribosomal RNA", at positions 1 to 916 of the family's 1533-position model. The record is from RNAcentral. Lineage: Bacteria; Pseudomonadati; Bacteroidota.
GGAUCCAGACUUUGAUUCUGGCUCAGGACGAACGCUGGCGGCGUGCCUAAUACAUGCAAGUCGAACGAAGCUUUCUUUCACCGAAUGCUUGCAUUCACCGAAAGAAGCUUAGUGGCGAACGGGUGAGUAACACGUAGGCAACCUGCCCAAAAGAGGGGGAUAACACUUGGAAACAGGUGCUAAUACCGCAUAACCAUGAACACCGCAUGAUGUUCAUGUAAAAGACGGCUUUUGCUGUCACUUUUGGAUGGGCCUGCGGCGUAUUAACUUGUUGGUGGGGUAACGGCCUACCAAGGUGAUGAUACGUAGCCGAACUGAGAGGUUGAUCGGCCACAUUGGGACUGAGACACGGCCCAAACUCCUACGGGAGGCAGCAGUAGGGAAUCUUCCACAAUGGACGAAAGUCUGAUGGAGCAACGCCGCGUGAAUGAAGAAGGCCUUCGGGUCGUAAAAUUCUGUUGUAAGAGAAGAACGUGCGUGAGAGUAACUGUUCACGUAUUGACGGUAUCUGACCAGAAAGCCACGGCUAACUACGUGCCAGCAGCCGCGGUAAUACGUAGGUGGCGAGCGUUGUCCGGAUUUAUUGGGCGUAAAGGGAACGCAGGCGGUCUUUUAAGUCUGAUGUGAAAGCCUUCGGCUUAACCGAAGUAGUGCAUUGGAAACUGGAAGACUUGAGUGCAGAAGAGGAGAGUGGAACUCCAUGUGUAGCGGUGAAGUGCGUAGAUAUAUGGAAGAACACCAGUGGCGAAAGCGGCUCUCUGGUCUGUAACUGACGCUGAGGUUCGAAAGCGUGGGUAGCAAACAGGAUUAGAUACCCUGGUAGUCCACGCCGUAAACGAUGAGUGCUAAGUGUUGGAGGGUUUCCGCCCUUCAGUGCUGCAGCUAACGCAUUAAGCACUCCGCCUGGGGAGUACGGUCGCAAGACUGCAACUCAAAUGAAUUGACGG